The sequence is a ribosomal RNA, 2866 nucleotides long. It matches the Rfam family "Bacterial large subunit ribosomal RNA".
AGAGCAGAUGGCGGAUGCCUUGCCAAAGAGAGGCGAUGAAGGACGUACUAGACUGCGAUAAGCUAUGCGGAGCUGUCAAGGAGCUUUGAUGCGUAGAUGUCCGAAUGGGGCAACCCAACUAAUAGAGAUAUUAGUUACUCUAAUUUAGAGAGCGAACCUAGUGAAGUGAAACAUCUCAGUAACUAGAGGAAAAGAAAUCAACGAGAUUCCCUAAGUAGUGGCGAGCGAACGGGGAAAAGGGCAAACCGAGUGCUUGCAUUCGGGGUUGAGGACUGCAACAUCCAAGAGAACGCUUUAGCAGAGUUACCUGGAAAGGUAAGCCAUAGAAAGUGAUAGCCUUGUAUGCGACAAGGCGUUUUUAGGUAGCAGUAUCCAGAGUAGGCCAGGACACGAGGAAUCCAGGUUGAAGCCGGGGAGACCACUCUCCAACCUAAAUACUACUCUUUGAGCGAUAGCGAACAAGUACCGUGAGGGAAAGGUGAAAAGAACCGCAGUGAGCGGAGUGAAAUAGAACCUGAAACCAUCUGCUUACAAUCAUUCAGAGCCCUAUGAUUUAUCAGGGUGAUGGACUGCCUUUUGCAUAAUGAUCCUGCGAGUUGUGGUAUCUGGCAAGGUUAAGCGAAUGCGAAGCCGUAGCGAAAGCGAGUCUUAAUAGGGCGAACGAGUCAGAUGCUGCAGACCCGAAGCUAAGUGAUCUAUCCAUGGCCAAGUUGAAACGCGUGUAAUAGCGCGUGGAGGACUGAACUCGUACCCAUUGAAACGGGUUGGGAUGAGCUGUGGAUAGGGGUGAAAGGCCAAACAAACUUAGUGAUAGCUGGUUCUCUUCGAAAUAUAUUUAGGUAUAGCCUCAAGUGAUAAUAAAAGGGGGUAGAGCCUGAUUGGGCUAGGGCUGCUCGCCGCGGUACCAAACCCUAUCAAACUUCGAAUACCUUUUAUCGUAUCUUGGGAGUCAGGCGGUGGGUGAUAAAAUCAAUCGUCAAAAGGGGAACAACCCAGACUACCAAAUAAGGUCCCUAAGUUCUAUUCUGAGUGGAAAAAGAUGUGUGGCUACUCAAACAACCAGGAGGUUGGCUUAGAAGCAGCCAUCCUUUAAAGAAAGCGUAACAGCUCACUGGUCUAGUGGUCAUGCGCUGAAAAUAUAACGGGGCUAAGAUAGACACCGAAUUUGUAGAUUGUGUUAAACACAGUGGUAGAAGAGCGUUCAUACCAGCGUUGAAGGUAUACCGGUAAGGAGUGCUGGAGCGGUAUGAAGUGAGCAUGCAGGAAUGAGUAACGAUAAGAUAUAUGAGAAUUGUAUCCGCCGUAAAUCUAAGGUUUCCUACGCGAUGGUCGUCAUCGUAGGGUUAGUCGGGUCCUAAGCCGAGUCCGAAAGGGGUAGGUGAUGGCAAAUUGGUUAAUAUUCCAAUACCGACUAUGGAGCGUGAUGGGGGGACGCAUAGGGUUAAGCGAGCUAGCUGAUGGAAGUGCUAGUCUAAGGGCGUAGAUUGGAGGGAAGGCAAAUCCACCUCUGUAUUUGAAACCCAAACAGGCUCUUUGAGUCCUUUUAGGACAAAGGGAGAAUCGCUGAUACCGUCGUGCCAAGAAAAGCCUCUAAGCAUAUCCAUAGUCGUCCGUACCGCAAACCGACACAGGUAGAUGAGAUGAGUAUUCUAAGGCGCGUGAAAGAACUCUGGUUAAGGAACUCUGCAAACUAGCACCGUAAGUUCGCGAUAAGGUGUGCCACAGCGAUGUGGUCUCAGCAAAGAGUCCCUCCCGACUGUUUACCAAAAACACAGCACUUUGCCAACUCGUAAGAGGAAGUAUAAGGUGUGACGCCUGCCCGGUGCUCGAAGGUUAAGAGGAUGCGUCAGUCGCAAGAUGAAGCGUUGAAUUGAAGCCCGAGUAAACGGCGGCCGUAACUAUAACGGUCCUAAGGUAGCGAAAUUCCUUGUCGGUUAAAUACCGACCUGCAUGAAUGGCGUAACGAGAUGGGAGCUGUCUCAACCAGAGAUUCAGUGAAAUUGUAGUGGAGGUGAAAAUUCCUCCUACCCGCGGCAAGACGGAAAGACCCCGUGGACCUUUACUACAACUUAGCACUGCUAAUGGGAAUAUCAUGCGCAGGAUAGGUGGGAGGCUUUGAAGUAAGGGCUUUGGCUCUUAUGGAGCCAUCCUUGAGAUACCACCCUUGAUGUUUCUGUUAGCUAACUGGCCUGUGUUAUCCACAGGCAGGACAAUGCUUGGCGGGUAGUUUGACUGGGGCGGUCGCCUCCUAAAAAGUAACGGAGGCUUGCAAAGGUUGGCUCAUUGCGGUUGGAAAUCGCAAGUUGAGUGUAAUGGCACAAGCCAGCCUGACUGUAAGACAUACAAGUCAAGCAGAGACGAAAGUCGGUCAUAGUGAUCCGGUGGUUCUGUGUGGAAGGGCCAUCGCUCAAAGGAUAAAAGGUACCCCGGGGAUAACAGGCUGAUCUCCCCCAAGAGCUCACAUCGACGGGGAGGUUUGGCACCUCGAUGUCGGCUCAUCGCAUCCUGGGGCUGGAGCAGGUCCCAAGGGUAUGGCUGUUCGCCAUUUAAAGCGGUACGCGAGCUGGGUUCAGAACGUCGUGAGACAGUUCGGUCCCUAUCUGCCGUGGGCGCAGGAAAGUUGAGGAGAGCUGUCCCUAGUACGAGAGGACCGGGAUGGACGUGUCACUGGUGCACCAGUUGUUCUGCCAAGAGCAUCGCUGGGUAGCUACACACGGAUGUGAUAACUGCUGAAAGCAUCUAAGCAGGAAGCCAACUCCAAGAUAAACUUUCCCUGAAGCUCGCACAAAGACUAUGUGCUUGAUAGUAGAUGUGUAAGUGCAGUAAUGCGUUUAGCUGACUACUACUAAUAGAGCGUUUGGCUUGU